RNAcentral lists this long non-coding RNA (6948 nucleotides) under Olea europaea subsp. europaea. The record is from RNAcentral. Lineage: Eukaryota; Viridiplantae; Streptophyta; Magnoliopsida; Lamiales; Oleaceae.
AACACUCUUUAGUAAUUUAUAUUAACUUUUUAUUCCCUUAUUUUAGUCCUAUAAACCAUCUUAUCUCGUCUUAAGAACAUCAACAAACUGGAAUGUCAAAAACACUUGCUCCUUUAAAUACUCUAAUAUUGAAUUAUACAUGACGUUUUCCCAUUUAUGUAUAGAUCAAACUUUACUCUCUGGCAAGCAAGGUAUCAAAAUUGCAUCAUGAUGUGAAAAAGAAUUACAGUAAACUUGAGAUACCACAAGAAGUUAAGAGAUUAUCCGUGAUUGUUGAAACUCAAGUAAGACUUUCUCACACUUUAAUUUUUUACUCUCAUGUUCUGACUUUUGUGUGAAAGCCAUAUGAAUUUCUCUGUUAACAGUUCAAUUUACCAAAAUGAAAAAUAUUAUACAUGUUUCUAUUCCAAGUGACAAUCAUAAAAGAAAUAUUCAAUUCUAAAAGCUUUUGAUCGCGUAUUAAUGAAUCCUAGAUGAACUUUCAAUUGUAGUCAUAAAAAGUAUAAAAUUUGAAACAUAAACCAUGUCAUUUGCAUUUAGAAAACAGUUUGUUUAUGAUUCAUCAAUUCAUUAUCUCUAAUAUCAACUAACAUAAUUUAUACUCCUUUUGAUUUAAUCUUUCAUUCUGCCACUCGUGUUACUCAUUACUGUUACUACACAUUUUCAUAAAAUCAAAUCACCUUAGUAAGAAGAAACAUCAAUGCCCAAGAGAACGAGAAGGGAAAAAAAAUAAAAAAAAGGAACAAAAUUCUUUUGCAUUACUUAUUUUCUUAAUUGUUUUUAAUCUAUAAAUAAAAAGGUUAUCAUGAACUAUGCAUAAGGAUUCCUCAACUUCUUCUUUAUCAGCCUUGAGCCAGGCAGAAGGUUUAAACAGAGGAGUUCAAUUUGUAAACAGAGUACCAGUUGGAUCAGGAUUCUAUUUCUUACAACCUAUUAGAAGAUACAGUUCAUAUGCUCCAAUGAACAUUAGUCAACGAUGUUGAAUUCGUUUCAUGAAUAAUAAAGAGCUAAUUUGCAACUGACAUAUUUUUACACCAAAAACUUCACUUUUAGUCUUCUGUUUGUAUAGUUCUCUUUAGCUUGAAAUUAUGAAUUCAUAAUGUGCUUUUAUUCAAAAUUCAUAUACUAUACGAAGGAUAAAAUAACUAACUCAUAUGAUUAGUCCACAAGAAGCCAAUAUCCAGGAAUGUACAUUACCAUGCCGAGCUAUUCUCCUAUAAUAUGAUCCAUAUAAAUUUAGCUUUUAUUUUUAUUUAUAAUUUUGGUUUUAAAAUGUAAUGUACAUGGGUAGUAAAUCUUAUAGAACUAAUCCUCGGCUUGUUCAAGCUUUGGACAUUCAUGUAGACCAUGAAAUAAACUGUUCUACUACAGCUACAUGUUAGAGAGAAUUUUUAACCGUUUCAUUGUGAAUCUACUUGUGAAGUGGUAUUGAUGUUUACACAGCCCUUACUGGAGCGUGGAGCCACUGAGGUUCUAUAAGGUCUUCUUCUCCUUGGAGCGGUGAGGUAAUCAGCAUUUUAGCGCUUCUAAAGUUGCUCUUACAAAAUUUUGUUUAGAAGUUUCUUUUUUGUAUGAUUGAUGCUACUUAAGCUGUUGAGUAAGAUUGAAAGUAUUAACAAGAUACCAGAGUACAUUGAAAGUGUAAAAAAUAGGUAGGUAUCAUCGUUGAUAGCAGCUAUUCCAAAUGCUCCUAUGCAUGGCUUAACUCCUGCAAUUCAUUUGCUUUUAUAAUCUCAUAUUCUCUAGGAACCGUAAGAUGUCUGGUUUUGGGCACUCUGUCUUCAAAAAUUACGAUCCACUAGCAAAAGUCAUCAAGAACCUUAUAGAGAUGUAAUUUCCAUUGUUCACUAGGAUCCUCUUAUAGAUGUCGGUUUGUAUUUAUUCAAAGUGGAUUUAGAUGUAUUUUUAAUUCAACACUUUUUAGUUUAUGCUGAAAAGCAAUCAAGUCUCUAAACAAGUUGAAAAUUUUCAAAGAAGAAGUAGUAAUGGGACAAACUUAAAUUAUGCCUAAUGAAAGGUCGUAAAAUAUGAGUAUAGAAAUACACUGAGCAAAUGAAACUAAUAGUUUGGGAACCUAAUUUUACUUUUCUGAUCUAAAAUAGAGAUUAAAGUCAGUUUCUGGUGAAAUCAAACUUACUCUUUUUGUCCCUAGAAACACAUUACUAUUGCUUGAUCUAAUUGGACUUUUGGGAUUAAUAGAGAUAAGCAACUUAACAUUUUAAAGUUAUAACCUAUCAAUAACUGCCUUGUACACUGGAAAAUGGGAAUACCCUACCCCUGACUCCUAACACUUUUUCACUGGACACAUCAAAGACAAAGUGUCCAACACUAGGAUGAAAAAACAAGUGAUGGAUAUUGGGACAUUUCUUAGGAGUGGUGAAGCAUGUAGACUGGUAACAUGGGCCUCUUGUUUCGUUGCUGUUUGUCAUUUUAUGAAUGUACGCAAAGGAAUGAUCCCUGUGAGCACGUGGCAAGGCAGUUGGAUUGGAACUUUUUACUUUUCCCCCUCAUAGCGCACUUUAUUUUCAAUACAAGUGAAAUUGAUAUUGCAAUUUAAAUGAUGUAAAUUAUUAAUAUAGUUUUGAUGGUUGUGGUUCUCCUUGCAGGGUAAAGAUAUUCUAUAUUGUGGCACCAUUUUAAAUUCUUAUAGAUUAAAAAAAUAUAUUGUGCUUAAAAAUGUCAUUUUGAGUCUAAACUUGCAACUUAUAUGCAUUAAUAGACAUCUACUUCUGGGUGUCCCAGAUUUUUGUCAUUUGUAGGUAGACAUAGCUUUGGAAAAAGCUGCUUUGAUCAGAUGAGUAUUUUAUGAAGAAUUCGUAUCACAAUGUUGACUUUUGUUCUCGGUCAAGCUAUAGGUAUGCAUAGAAUCUUCACCACAUCUGGUUCUUAUUUUUUUUCUUUUUAUUUUUUGUUGGGGAGGGAGGGAUUAUUAUAUAAGUUCUUUUAACAUUGACAACAUUCGAUACUGCUAUCCACGUUAAUAAAUUUUCUCUCAGAGUUCUUCUCCAUUCUAUUUGCAAUUCCUCAAAUGGUUGGCUAUUUAUCUCACUAGCGCAAUUCUUUGGACGAUCCUAAUACAAAGAUAAUGAGACCUGCCCGGUUCAUUUUAAACACCCUUCAUCUAUCUUUUAGGGAAAAAAAAAAAAAGAAUAUCAUAUCUGCUUUCUUGUCCUUGUCUCUGUCUUAAUCUUUGUUUUGCUUUGUAGGUAUAAAAUGGCGUAUGUUUACAACUUUAUAGGCAUUAGCUACAACAAGAAUGAAUACAAUCAACAGACGGUGUUGGUCUCCAAUGUCAAUAUGAAACGGCUAAUUGAAUGUAGCCAUCAUGGGAUGUAUACUCUUCCAUAGCCUACACAAAUCAGAAUGCCAAGGUAAAUUCACAAUUGUUCAAAAACAAGUAAUAAUUUUUAAAUUUUCGUACAUCCAUAAAUUGUUAGGCUAAAUUUUGCUUCUCAUAAAUCCAUCUUAAACUGUUUAUGUAAGACAACAUAAAGCAUACAAUUUGUAAUAGUAGUCAAAUGAAUUCAUAUACCUUAUUUCAAAAUAAUGGACAUUCCUCUCAAUUUUCUUUUCAUUUGGAAUAGAAGUGCUCUGUUUUUGUUCUAUGAAAUUCAUUGGAGAAGGUUAUUUCUCAUUUGAAUGAUCCUUUAGGGGUCUUGAUUAGUGCAUCGGCACUUCCACUGAAUCAAAUGGCUCAGUUCAUUCUAACCUUUCCCUCAAACGCAUUUGUAGCAAAGGUAGAAGCGUGGUGCGGCAUGUUUAUACGAUGCCCUUGAGGCUUUACUAUCGUCAAUAAAUGCAAUUGUAAUAAAUCAGAACUCCAAUUGUUUAUCAUCAAUAAAUGCAAUUCUUGUCUUACCAAUAUUGUUCACCUGUAUAAUUACAAUUGCACAUUUUCCUCACUCGAUAAUUUCGUUUCAUGUGAUGUAGAAAAGCAGCGAGACAAGUAAUCACAAUAUCCAAACUGAGUACGAAAAUGAUCUACCAAAUUAAUUUAUAAAAUUUUUGUCAUUAAUUUGUUUUAAUAUAUACUUCUUUAGUCACUUCAUUUUGUCAUUAAUUUAUAAAAUUUUUGAAUCUCAGAUGAAAGUAGUUUAAUAUUAGCUUGCUCGAUGCAAAAAUCCAAAUUUGUUUUAACAAAAAUCUUCAACCUUUUCCUGAUAAUAUGCACCACGCACACCCUCUGAGUUCGCAAGCAUUUUGUUAGCAAACUUUCAGGUAGCACCCUACUCCUCUUGGGCAAGCUAGCAUCAAAUCCAAUUGAAGAGAUUUUUAUUCAUCCAAUCAUAAUCUAUUUGUAUGCAAAUGUUAAUAUGCUGGCUUAUAGUAUUUUCUUAACUAUAGUUCAUUUUUCUUUUUCAAGAAAAAGUUUAGUACAAUAUAGUGAUGAGGCCUAAUUUCAUGGAUGAAAUUGAAUGUGGAAACUUCUUUGAUCAAAUUGUUGACUUCAUUGAGCUUUUCCCUGAAAACGAGGGUGCUGGUGGUGGCCUUGCUGGUAAUGGUGAUAUCAAGGAUUUUUGAGCAUUUAGGACAGUGUGUUUCCAGAUACCGACCCCAUUUUCUCCAGCAGCAAGCAAGCUUUAUGGGUAACUUUUUAAAUUCUAUAUUCAAAUUCUGACUUUAAAUUCACUUUUUAGCUUCUAUUUGUUGUAAAUCACCAUGUCCCUACAGAAACUUGAGGUAAAGGUGGCAUUGAGAAAUCCAUAUAAGUUUUAUUUCAAGAGGAUUAAAACAAAAAAAUCUGGUGUAUUCUACAUGCUAAAGUGAGAUAACAAAUUCUGUAAUUACUAUUUUCUUAUAUAUAUAUAUAUAUAUAUAUAUAUAUAUAUGUUUGCAUUUAAUUGUACCUCACUUGUUUACAAUUGUAGGAACCUGGCAAAUAAGUACCCAAAAGAUGAUCUAGAAUAUAUUCUGCUAACAAAGGUUUGAUUUAUUUACAUUUCUAUUUACUUUAAUCAUUACACUCAUUUGUCAUAUGUCCCCCAUUAUUGUUAUUAGUCUAGACACAAUUGCCGGUGAGAUACUAUAUAUUUUUUAAAUGAACUAAUGAUCAUGUGAUGCUCCCAUAAUAUAUAAAAUUAUUAGUUUGUCAUGGUUAACACUUCCUUUGUUACAUUUUCUUCUUGUCUUAAUUGUUGUAUUACGACCCAAAACUAAAAGAGAAAUUUUAAAUCUGUAAAUUCUCAUCUUCAUCCAGCUAUAUUCAACAAAACCUUUUAAUCUAGAUAUGUAAAAUCAUUCUUCAGUUGUACCAAAUUUGUUUCAUCUACAAAAUCUGCAAGUGACCUUUUAUGUUGAGCUAUGUAAACUCAAUUGCAUCAUCUGUAGUUAUGUUGUUGCUGUUGCUAAACUUGGAUGAUGUUUGUAGUGAUACUAUCUUUCUAAAGGUGCAAUUUUCUUUUUUUAAGCUAUCAUAAUGGGAUUGUUACCUCCCCUACCACCAAUAUUAUCCUUCGAAGGCUCAAUUUAAUAGCUUGAAUGCUAGGAUGCCAAUGAUGCAGAUUAAUUUGGUGGGGAACUAUGGGAAUAAGUAAUAAUUUGAAGUGGUCGAAUGGACUGAAUCCUGAAAUAUAAGGGAAAUUUAAAUUGUUUUGUAAUACGGGAAAUUAGAAAAAUAGAUGCCAAUAUUGAAGCCAGGAAGAGCAUAGUAAAAGAAUUAAGGAAAUUAUUAGAAAAUCAUUUACAUGUAAUAUUCCUACCCCACAUUUGCUUAGAUAGAAUUUGAAUGGACUAAAUCCUGUAAAUUUAAGAGAACAUUUUAAGAGAUUCAUUGUACUUGAAAAUAAUUUGUUGUGUGAUACAUGAAAUUGAAGAAAUUUAUGCGAAGCAAGAAGAGAAAAUUGGGGAGCUGGAAAAGGUAAAUGCCAAUUUUGAAGUCAUGAAGAGUGAUGUAAAAGAACUAGGGAAAAUGUUAUAUUAUUUACUUAAAAAAGUUCCAACCCCAUGUUUGCUUAGAAUUUGAACCUACGAUUUAUACUUGAUAGUUAAUUCACCUUUAAAUUGUGCUUUAAUUUUUUUCUGAAAAAACAUUUAAUUUUUUACAUUAAUGUCACUUCCUUUCAAAAACGCAAGGAAAAUGCAAUUAUUGUGAACCCAAAUCAAUUCCUUAUAGAAACUCAAGGAAUAGGUGGCUCUUAGACAUUGAAUACAUACAUAUCAGGAGCAUAUGAUAGAUUUAAAGUAAUACAUACAUAUCAGGAGCAUAUGAUAGAUUUAAAGUAAUACUUUUAUUCUUUAAUUUUAUUUUUUUCCAAUCUAGAUAUCAUGUUACUUAUCCUAUUGAAAGAAAUUGAGCACUUUAUUUUUCUUCAAGCUUAAAUUCUUGAACCUUUCAUUUCUUUAUUUCAACUUUAAUACAUGCACUCACUUAUUUGAUAUCAAUAGUUGCCAUUUUCUUUUAUCUUCACUAUUUUUUUCAUAUGUUUUUGUCUCCAUCUUCUACUCCGUCUACUUAGUAGAGGUCACCUAAACCAUUCCUUGUACUGAAUAUUUAAACAAGCUUCAUUUUGGAAAGUUACAAAUUUGGCAUAACUGGGUUGAUAUUGUCAUUCAAUGAAGUCUUAUUGGUCUUUUUUUUUUCCUCAUUCAUUUACACCGUUGUCCAUCACUAACCUAUCAUUUUCUUGUUUGUGAUUAUGUUUUACAAAUUGCAAGUUUCCAUUAUUAUAAUUCACUGUUCAUAUUUUUCAGUUUUAACUAUAUGCAUCUCUUGAUGUUUAUUUUCCUCCCUAGAUUUUUUAAGCAUUUGAGUCGGUAGAGCUUGUGCAACUUCCCACAAAUUCAGAGAUGGGACAUUGCAAUGGUUUCGAGUUUGUUUAGGUCAGUAUUUUGUGGAAGUUGAUUGUUUUGAAAAGUGUGUUGCAAUAACUAGGAUUCUAAUUUUCUACCUUAUCUUUGAAUAUGAGUUUUAUUGAUACAUCAUUGCAGUUUGCACAACUUGAACAUGCA